This 449-nucleotide ribosomal RNA is filed under the name uncultured bacterium. RNAcentral's name for it is "partial 16S ribosomal RNA". It matches the Rfam family "Bacterial small subunit ribosomal RNA", at positions 29 to 523 of the family's 1533-position model. The record is from RNAcentral.
AACGAACGCUGGCGGCAGGCUUAACACAUGCAAGUCGAACGAGAUCUUCGGAUCUAGUGGCAGACGGGGGAGGAACACGUGGGAACAUCCCUUUCAGUUCGGAAUAACGUUGGGAAACUAACGCUAAUACCGGAUACGUCCUUAGGGAGAAAGAUUUAUCGCUGAAAGAUUGGCCCGCGUCUGAUUAGCUAGUUGGUGAGGUAAUGGCUCACCAAGGCUACGAUCAGUAGCUGAUCUGAGAGGAUGAUCAGCCACAUUGGGACUGAGACACGGCCCAAACUCCUACGGGAGGCAGCAGUGGGGAAUAUUGGACAAUGGGCGCAAGCCUGAUCCAGCCAUGCCGCGUGAGUGAUGACGGCCUUCGGGUUGUAAAGCUCUUUUGUCCGGGAAGAUAAUGACUGUACCGGAAGAAUAAGCCCCGGCAAACUUCGUGCCAGCCGCCGCGGUAA